GCAAGUCGAGCGAGAAAGGUCUUCGGACUGAGUAGAGCGGCGGACGGGUGAGUAACGCGUGGGAAUCUAUCCAGUAGCGGGGGAUAACUUAGGGAAACUUAAGCUAAUACCGCAUACGCCCUAUGGGGGAAAGGAGGGGAUCUUCGGACCUUUCACUGUUGGAGGAGCCCGCGUUGGAUUAGCUAGAUGGUGGGGUAACGGCCUACCAUGGCGACGAUCCAUAGCUGGUCUGAGAGGAUGAUCAGCCACACUGGGACUGAGACACGGCCCAGACUCCUACGGGAGGCAGCAGUGGGGAAUAUUGCACAAUGGGGGAAACCCUGAUGCAGCCAUGCCGCGUGUGUGAAGAAGGCUCUAGGGUUGUAAAGCACUUUCAGCAGGGAGGAAAGGGUUGGCGUUAAUACCGUUGAUCUGUGACGUUACCUGCAGAAGAAGCACCGGCAAACUCCGUGCCAGCAGCCGCGGUAAUACGGAGGGUGCGAGCGUUAAUCGGAAUUACUGCGCGUAAAGCGCGCGUANGUAGUUCGUUAAGCCAGAUGUGAAAGCCCCGGGCUCAACCUGGGAACUGCAUUUGGAACUGGCGAACUGGAAUACA
Molecule: ribosomal RNA, 595 nt
Filed under: uncultured bacterium
Lineage: Bacteria
Description: bacterial SSU rRNA
Rfam family: Bacterial small subunit ribosomal RNA
Source: RNAcentral